RNAcentral lists this ribosomal RNA (588 nucleotides) under Triticum aestivum (bread wheat). RNAcentral's name for it is "partial small subunit ribosomal RNA". Lineage: Eukaryota; Viridiplantae; Streptophyta; Magnoliopsida; Poales; Poaceae. The record is from RNAcentral.
AUGAAGGGGACGGUCAAGUGGUUCAACGACACCAAGGGGUUCGGCUUCAUCUCCCCCGACGACGGCAGCGAGGACCUCUUCGUCCACCAGUCCUCCAUCAAGGCCGACGGCUUCCGCUCGCUGGCCGAGGGCGAGGUCGUCGAGUUCGCCGUCUCGGAGGGCGACGACGGCCGCACCAAGGCCGUCGACGUCACCGGCCCCGACGGAUCCUUCGUGCAGGGCGGCGCGGGCGGUGGCGGUGGCGGGGGCGGCUUCGGAUCCCGUGGCGGUGGCGGAUCUCGCGGCGGCGGGGGCUUCGGCGGCCGCGGCGGGGACGGAUCUGGCGGCUACGGAGGUGGGUACGGUGGUGGCGGUGGCGGAGGCUGGGGCGGCCAGAGGAGAUCCGGCGGUGGAGGCGCCGGCGGCGGAGGAGGCGGCGGCUACGGCGGCGGCGGCGGCGGCAACUGCUACAACUGCGGCGAGCCGGGCCACAUCGCGAGGGACUGCCCCACCAGCAGCGGCUUUGGCGGAGGAGGCGGCGGCGGCGGCGACCGCUCCUGCUACAACUGCGGCGAGCCCGGCCACAUCUCCCGCGACUGCACCAAGUGA